This 258-nucleotide ribosomal RNA is filed under the name uncultured bacterium. Its description in RNAcentral is "partial 16S ribosomal RNA". It matches the Rfam family "Bacterial small subunit ribosomal RNA", at positions 793 to 1055 of the family's 1533-position model. The record is from RNAcentral.
GUCCACGCCUAACGAUGACGACUGGAUGUCGGAAGGGUCUGCCUUUCGGUGUCGUAGCUAACGCGUUAAGUCGUCCGCCUGGGGAGUACGGCCGCAAGGUUGAACUCAAGGAAUUGACGGGACCCGCACAAGCGGUGGAGCAUGUGGUUCAAUUCGAUGCAACGCGAAGAACCUUACCUGGCCUUGACAUCCGCGGAACUUGGCAGAAAUGCCUUGGUGCCUUCGGGAAUCGCGAGACAGGUGCUGCAUGGCUGUCGU